CUUUUAGUGUAGGUAUAUCCCAUGCCAUGUUUGGGAUAUACUUAUACUAAAA
RNAcentral lists this microRNA precursor (52 nucleotides) under Gulo gulo (wolverine). RNAcentral's name for it is "mir-1302 microRNA precursor family". It matches the Rfam family "mir-1302 microRNA precursor family". The record is from Rfam by way of RNAcentral. RNAcentral also lists the same sequence under 2 other names. Lineage: Eukaryota; Metazoa; Chordata; Mammalia; Carnivora; Mustelidae.